GACAGGGGGUCGCUGCCGGGCCCCGAGCCCCCGGCGCUGCGGCGCUGCGUUUGUUUUCCGACAAACGUCCCGGUGAAUCUCACACGGCCCUGCUGUUCUAACAGCGGAAGGUGCGGUUUGGAUUUAGCCUAAAAGCCAGCGGAGCAAAAGCAGUUCGUGCCGCACCAAGUGGUAAAGGUAGGCAUGAAGUCGCUCAUUGUCAGCUCCUCUCGAGUCCCUCUCAACGCCCAUCCUAAGAUCCAGAGGCAGCAAGUUUGCCCUUCCCGAAUUCACAGUUCUUAGAGGCAGAAUGUUAUCCAGCACUCCCUUGGCUGGGCGCACACAUGGCAACGACCACAGUGCCGGCGAGGAUGGAUGGACGGAUGGAAGAAGGAAUUACUUCAAGGGCCAAUUUCACCUCCAGUUCUAACAACCCAAAGACAAGGAGCAGAGAGACCUUGCUGGGAGCAAGAGAUCUCUGCCUAAGCCCCUUCUGACACAGAGUUUAUGCAAUUUGGCACUAAAAUGUUCAAGGCUGGAAUCUGUCCUGCAGAUCUAACCACAGCCACGGGCCUCUGGACGGACACAAAACCCCCACCAGGCUGCAAGUCCCAGCCCCUCUGUCAGCAUGUGAUGGACAGGGGAGAGAAGCUGCAGCCAGGACAACACACUGAGAUCUUGUUUGACAGGGCUGAUGUAAAUCAAACAGCACAGAAAGUUUUGGAAUAAAUGAAAAGCUGGAUGCUGUUCCAUGGGGUUGGGUGUUUGAGGCACUCUGUGGGGCUGGGGGUGAGUGGGGAAGGGAGCAGUGCUGGUGUGCAUGCCUCCCCUCAGCCUCCUGCUGCUGAGACAACUGGAUUAAAUUAGAGCAGAAUGAGGACUGGGGAUUACAGAGAAACAGAGGCAUCAACAGUUUUCAUUUCUCCCCCACAAUUAUUUAUAAUGAUAUGGGAAAAUGAAGAGCAGAAUGGAUUCAGCAAACGAGGAAUAAGAGACAAACCACAGGAUCCAGCACUAGCCAUACUUUCCAAGGCAUUCCAGCCUGUUGUGCCACAUCACCAAGAAAUAUCUGCAAUUCUUGGAUGUCUAGCAUCUCUCAUUCAAUCCUAUUCAGGUAACUCUUGAGUACAUGACAAGACAGUUAUCAAGGCUCUCAUGUUUAGAUUAUAGCAGCCUUUUUUUUUCUUCCCAUUCAAAUAAGUACACUCUCUUUUGCCAAAGCCAAAUGAACAAAUGAGACACUGUCGUGACAUCCCAGGAAUAAAAUCUAACAGUAAAUCACCCUUGCAUGGAAAGCAGUUCUACAGUCAAGCAAAGCAAACUGCAAAUGUCAGCUUGUUCACUGGUAAUCCUGCUGGAAAGUAACCCAAAGAGCAGUAUUAGUGUUUGCUAACUUGCUCUGACAGUGGCUUUGCUAAAGAAUAAAUGGACAAAAUAGGCAGAUGAGAAGUAUUCCCCAUUAAAGACAGCAAAGAUAAAAAGACUAAUUUAAACCUCUAAAAUAAGGCAGCCAGUGCUGUCCUCCAUCCUCUUGAGAUCACCAGGCAGUCUACAGAAGCCCUCCAAGAAAUGUAACAUUUUUCACUCUUCACAAGCUUCUGAUUCCAGACAUCCCUGCUGCUGAAGUGGUACUGGCAAUGAGAACACCUUUUAAAACAGCAAUCUCCUACCCCUGCCUUUUCUGAUUCACUAUGAAAUAAAGAAUUCAGCUUUUAAUGUAA
Molecule: long non-coding RNA, 1700 nt
Organism: Haemorhous mexicanus (house finch)
Lineage: Eukaryota; Metazoa; Chordata; Aves; Passeriformes; Fringillidae
Exons: 2
Source: RefSeq, a predicted model, not a curated record